UACGAAGGGGGCUAGCGUUGCUCGGAAUUACUGGGCGUAAAGGGCGCGUAGGCGGCACUGUUAGUCAGGCGUGAAAGUCCUGGGCUCAACCUGGGAACUGCGCUUGAUACGGCAGAGCUAGAGGAUGGAAGAGGGUCGCGGAAUUCCCAGUGUAGAGGUGAAAUGCGCAGAUAUCGGGAAGAACACCCGUGGCGAAGGCGGUUCUCUGGGACGGUACUGACGCUGAGACGCGAAAGCGUGGGGAGCGAACAGG
Molecule: ribosomal RNA, 253 nt
Filed under: uncultured bacterium
Lineage: Bacteria
Description: partial 16S ribosomal RNA
Rfam family: Bacterial small subunit ribosomal RNA
Source: RNAcentral